CACCCUCAAUUCAUAUGGGACUCCCCCCUGAAUUUAAGCAUAUUAAUUAGGGGAGGAAAAGAAACUACCAAGGAUUUUCUUAGUAGCGGCGAGCGAAAAGAAAUCAGUUCAGCACUAAGUCACUUUGUCUAUAUGGCAAAUGUGAGAUGCAGUGUAUGGAGCGUCAAUAUUCUAGUAUGAGAAAUUAACGAUUUAAGUCCUUCUUAAAUGAGGCCAUUUACCCAUAGAGGGUGCCAGGCCCGUAUAACGUUAAUGAUUACUAGAUGAUGUUUCCAAAGAGUCGUGUUGCUUGAUAGUGCAGCACUAAGUGGGUGGUAAACUCCAUCUAAAACUAAAUAUAACCAUGAGACCGAUAGUAAACAAGUACCGUGAGGGAAAGUUGAAAAGAACUCUGAAUAGAGAGUUAAAUAGUACGUGAAACUGCUUAGAGGUUAAGCCCGAUGAACCUGAAUAUCCGUUAUGGAAAAUUCAUCAUUAAAGUUAUAAUAUUUAAACAAUAUUAUACAAAUAAUGUGCAUUUUUUCCAUAUAAGGACAUUGUAAUCUAUUAACAUAUUAAAUUUAUCAUAAAAUAUGGCUUAUAGUUUAUUCAAAUUAUUAUGCUUGCAUUUUAACAUAGAAUAAAUGUCAUUAAUUUGAUAAAGUGUUGAUAGACUAAUAAGAAUACAGUGCGUUAAUUUUUCGGAAUUAUAUAAUGGCAUAAUUAUCAUUGAUUUUUGUGUUUAUUAUAAGCACUUGUAUGAUUAACAAUGCGAAAGAUUCAGGAUACCUUCGGGACCC
Molecule: non-coding RNA, 779 nt
Filed under: Drosophila ananassae
Lineage: Eukaryota; Metazoa; Arthropoda; Insecta; Diptera; Drosophilidae
Description: Eukaryotic large subunit ribosomal RNA
Rfam family: Eukaryotic large subunit ribosomal RNA
Source: Rfam by way of RNAcentral